ACACGAGGCAGCAAAUCCGAACAGGCAAAGGCCUCACUCUCCAGUGCAGUCUGGGAGGACUGAUCAGGGAAGAACAGAUCAGGGUGAAGAACAGAAAGUUGCUCCCUGAACUCAGUGGCUCUGCCGCAGCAGGGAGAUGGUCUGAAGGACAGGCGUGGGGGCAGAAGAAGACCCCAAGGCAUCUCCCCAAGAUGACCACAGUUGUCCCUGAAGAAGCAGUCACAGCAAGCUCACUUCACAGGAACCAAGCUGUGGGCUGAUCCUACAGACUUGAAAAGACAACUCAAAAAGAUUGUCUGUGGGGUCAGAAACAGCUCUGGAGGGGUCUGCAGAAAUUACUUUCCCAAGUCUUUGGGCUGGAAGGAACGAACAGUGCCUGACCAAGGACUUUGAGCAGGAGAGAGAUGGGAGCAGAGAGGAGCCAAGGUCUACUAUUUUCACUUCUGUCAAUUAGAUCAAAGCCCUGCCCAGAAGCUUUGAGCGCCGCUGUCAAGUCCCAUUCCUCCCCUAAACCAUCCAGGUUCCAUCUGCCUUGAAGCCAAAGGAUCUUCUUAGAUUCCUCAAGAAAAAUUCAGGCCCCGAGUUUCUCCACCAGCACUCUCCUCUCCCCGAAGGAGUGGGUGGGCUGCAUUUCUCUUCAUAUUCUAUUCCAUUCCAGACCGUCUUGGACUACCAGCCUGUCCGCCACCCCUCGGGGCCCUCCCUCCUACUCUGCCCUUGCCCGCUGAGGUCCCAAGCUGAGGAGAUGAGCCGAGCAGUAAAAAGAGAGGAGGUUUGGAAAAGCAAUGUCCUCUCAGUCUUUAAUAGGUGGCCCCCCUGGGAACCUGCUGGAAGUGGAAGUUAAUAAGCUGAAGGUGGUCACAACCAAUCUCUGCCACACUCGCACCCUACCCCACCCCAAAUCAUUCCUUUUAAUUAAUAGUGGAAGACCUUUUUAAAAAUGUAACAUGAAUUGGCUAUUUCUUGAGGCAAACAAAAGGUGGCUCUGAAGCGAUAUAUUUGUACUCGUAUAAAUUCAUUAAAAUAGAAAGCUUAUAACCAUCCAGGUUUCACUGACAGCCCCAGUCCAUCUACAUGCAGAAAUGGUCCCUCCAAAGCCCUCUACGACAAUUAUUCUCACAGAUCGUCAUGAUAAACUGUAAGGGAAUAUACUAAGAAAGAGGGAAGAAGAGAGGAGGAGUCCAUUUUUAAUUAGUGGUUGGAAAUAGAGUAAAAAUUAGAGGGCCUUAGGUUUAAAACACAGAUGUGCAUUGUGAUCGUCUGAAGGAAGAGCUGUUGACAGAGAAAACAAGGUGGUGAACUAUGCCCUUGGCCUGUGACAGUUAGGUGAGGGUUGCUCACCGCAGAAGACAGACCGGUAGAGCCCAGCAGGAAAGAGGGUAUCAGGCUGGAAGAAGUGCAGUUUGGCCCUGGCGGAGUGGUGGAGUGGCUGGAGCGACUGCAGGAGGAGGAUAGAUCUGGAAGCAGGUCUGGGCUAUACUUUGGCCUCAGCCAGGGAGCCAGAGAAGGAAGGCUUGGGUUCGAGGGGGGAAAUCAUUCUCCCAAAUUGCUUUCUCAGAAGCGCCAAUUCAGAUCACCUGAAGACAGGGUCUGGGCCCCAUUACAGCAUGGUUCCCAAAUGGGAGUGUGCUUGGAAGCCUUGGUGAUUAAAGGGUGCUGACUAAAAGAGUCAAACUCUGUAAAAUAUUUGAAGAGAUUUAUUCUGAGCCAAAUAUGAGUGACCAUGGCCCAUGACACAGCCCUCAGGAGACCCUGAGAACAUGUGUUCAAGGUGGUCGGGGUACAGCUUGGUUUUAUAUGUUUUAGGAAGGCAUGAGACUCAAUCAAAGACAUUUUAAAAAUACAUUGGUUUGGUUCAGAAAGGUGAGACAACUCAAAGUGGGGGCUUCCAGGCUAUAGGUAAAUUUAAACAUUUUCUGACUGACAAUUGGUUGGGUUUAUCUGGAGACCUGGGAUUAAUGGAAAGGAAGGUUCAUGUUAAGAUACAGAACUGUGGGGACCAAGUUUUAUUGUGCAGAGGAAUCUCUCAGAUAGCAGACUUCAGAGAGAGAGAGAGCAGGUUGUAAAAUGUUUCUUAUCGGACCUAAAAGGGUACCUGGCUCUUAGUUGAUUAUCUCCUGGAUCUGGGAAGGAAGGAAGGAAAACAAAGGGGAAAGGAAAUAUUUCCUAUAGAAUAUGGAUUUUUCCCACAAGAGACUUUGCAGGACAAUUUCGAGAUAUGGCAAGGAGAUUUAUUUUGGGGUAAAACAUUUUGAUUUUCUUCCUUGUUAUGCCACAGUCAGAUUGGAAAGUCAGUCAUGAUAUACAGGGUCAGAUAAAAUCCGUCUGAUGAGAAUGUAUGGUUGGUAGGGCAUGACUCCCCAGACCCCUUAGAUAGGAAUCUGGGCAAGAUAAAAAAUCGGAGCUUAGUCCUCAAGGGAAGGGGCAGCAGCGCUGUUGGCGGGCUCACCAAGCAUCAGUACUGGAUCACCAGGCUUGGGAGAGUAGGGGUGUCAAGGCCCCAAGAGCAGGGAGGGCCUUGGCCCCACUAGGGGGGCAUCAGAAAGCAGGGAGCACUUGUAGUUCACCAUGAUUCCCCUCAAAGCCCUGGGCCAGCCUCCUGCAGGGAAGGCGGGCAGGAAGUCUUCCCCAUAGGGGCAGGCUUGCUUUUUUGGCCAGCCAUCCUCUUCAUAUGAAAAACAGCAUCUUGUCAUUUCUAGAUGUUUCUACUUUGGUUGACUCUUUAAUUUUUCUGCAGUUAAAAGCCUUAAAACAGCAAGGAAGCAGGGGACAGGAGGGGAGCCCAGAUCUCUCCCAAAGAAAAGGAGAAAGACUGAAUCCUUGAGGCCUGCCGUACAAAGGAGUGGUGGGUUGGAGGAGGGUAGGCAGAGACUAGGGUGGUCUGGGACUUUAAGUACAAGGCCCCGUGGAUUUCAUUGGGGGGCAAGCCAUGUGCAACAGGGAAGCUCAGGAACCGGGGGGUUUCGCACAGAGGUCUGGUGCUGUGAGGUACAGGGAAAGAAUUAGUGGAUCUGGACCAGUGGAACAUUGGUUUAGUGUAAUCUCUGAUUUGUGUUGAGUGAAUUUGAGUAUAGUCCAACCACCACCCCCCUACCCCAACUAAACCAUGUGCCCCUCAGGAGCUGGGACUCUUCUAUUUUCUAUUCCUUAUAGCAGGCUCAGUGCCUGACACACUACGUUGAAUUUUAUUUUAAACAUUUCAUUUACAUUAAAUGGUAUAUUUGCAAGUUCAUUCUUCCAGACCUCAGUUUAUUCUUUUAUCUAGUCAUUUUAAAGGGAUUCUCUCAGACCCUCCACUAGCUAAGAGAACCGAACUUUUCUUCCAGAAUUGUCAGGAAAUGGGACUUACUGACUUAGUGAGCUACUUAUUUUAUCUAGAAUUAACUGUGUCUAAUAAAAUAUAUAUGCACUUUGGGAAUGGAUGAGGUGCUACACAAAUGAAAGAUGGUAUUAUUCAUCAUACAGUGUUUUUGAUUAUAAUAGAUUAUUCUCUGCCAAAACCCAGAAGGGCCAAGUCGAGGUAGGUUGCUGAAAGGGGAGGAAGUCUAAAUAGCAGAAUCAGACUUUUCCAUAAGUUUGCAGUGGCGUAUGGACAACACUCAGGCAACCAGCCCUCGGCACAGCAACAGGGGACCCACCUCCUAAGUUGGGGCUGAGUAAAGACAUAUUCCCGGGGCAAGGCUUUGCCAAGGCAGGCCUCUUCUGAAACAUAAGUCCCAUCUUUCUCCCGGCCCCGCCACCCCACCUCAGAUGUGCUGUCUAGAAGCUGCACAUCUGGGGCCGUUCAAACUCCUGGCUCGAAUCACUGGAAUCAUCUGAGCAGGAUAAUUUUACAUUAAUGAUUAAAAAUUGCUCUUCUAGAUAUAGCCUUGCCUCAGGGUAGCCAUUAAGAACAUUACUUCGUAAUUUAAGAAGCUCAAUGUAGGGCGCUUUGGGCAUUUGCAAAGAGGGAACUGUACUCAUAUCUUGAUAAAUUGCAAAAUGUCUCCCACCAUCUUCUUGUUCUGUAUCUCCUCUUCUGCCUUCUGCCAUUGCACUCUCUGGCAUAUAAUCCUUUUAAAGAAUAAGAACAAAAACAAAAAAAAAAGGAAGAUAAUGAAAAGCCUAUUGUUUCUUAGUGUCCGCUGAUGUUAAACACGCACACGCAUGCACAAUUAUGAAUUUUGUGUAUUUCUUCCGGGGGAUGGAGCCAUAAAGGGUUACACUUUGGUAUGUGAUUUUGGAGCCUACACUUGAAAUGGGAAUUUGAAUGUAGUUGAACAGACUUUUAACAUUGCCCCGAGAAGAAUGAUACUGGCAUUUGCUUGUCUGCGGUGUCACACCCCGGAGUGUGGAGGAUCCUCACCGGCUCUGUGACUCACCCUGGAAGUUGCACCUUUCUCGGGGGGCAGGGUGGGGAGUUACUUUUUAUAAGUAAACCCCAGAGAGCAGUGUUUCCGUAUCAAUCAGUUUCUCAACAAGUUUGAGAGCAGAUUGUGCCUCAAUCCCUAUCGUUGGGGAUGCUCUCCAAGCUCUCCGGGGUGCCGCCAAGCCAGGAUCUCCCAUUCUGAUGCAUCCUGGGUCUCCUCUUCCCUUGCCCCUCUUCCUUGUUCUCCACUCUGAGCCAGCUAGACAGGUGAAGCAGAGAACCUGUCUAGUCCAAACUCCUUAUUUUACAGAUCAGGAGCGUGAGGCCCAGAGAGGGAUUGCCCUUACCCCAUCCUGCAUCCCCUCUCCUCCUCUUCUGCCUUCACCCCAAUACCUUCCAGCGUGAAUGAUGCCCACCCUGUCUCUCUUCUAGCCCCGCAUCCUGCAUUACUCUUUUCACAAUAUUUUUGAGUAAGUGGCCUGCUGCAAUCUUAUAUUUGGCAUGGCAAAGGCAGACCCCUUUCCCUCCCUCCAGACCCCCAGCUCAGCCACUGUGAGUGCUGUAAGGCCAGUCCCCACCUGUGUCCUUCUAUUCAUCACAAACUAAGCACAUGCUACUUUAUCUUUUAUCUCCUCGUGUCCACAAAACAGGCCACAACCAAGGUCAUGCUGCCAAACAGAUCUGGGAGAAUGGUAAUUGACAAUUCACGCUAAAAAUUGUGUUGAACAAAAAUUCUCUUCUAUUAGAAAAAUGACAGGAGAGACAACUUUGCCAUUAUGUUGCUUUCUCCUCAAUCGGGACACACAAAAAAUCUCAAUAAAAAUGUUAUAUCAAAGGCUCGCAAACAUCAUUCAAAUCUUCCCUAACCCAUUGCUUUCAUUUGAAAAACGAGCAUUUCAUUAAAGACACUUGACAGGAUGUUAAUUUGUUGUGGGAAUCUGUCAGUGUCCAAACAAAUACUUGCAUGUUUUGUGCAGAUGAGGUAACCGCUUGUAGAAUGGCAAAACCAGAAGGCAUUUGGGUGACCUGCUUUGGCCUUUUGACUUUACAGAAGAAGAAACUGUUGCCUGGUGAGAGAAAGAGACUUGCCCAGGGCCACUCACUGGUAGUAGAACUGGGACUAGAACGAGAGCCUCCCAACCCCCAGGCAGGGCCCUUCCUUCUCACAAUGGCAGAACCACAAGAUAUUGACAAUGGAAAGGAUCUUGGAGGUCUCCCUAACACUUCUAAAUACUGAAAGGUUGGACCAACCACAUCAAGAGAGAGCCAACUACGCUGAAGAACGUGUCAUCACCUCCUGAGAGCUGCCUGAAUUGGAGGCGCAGGUCCCAGGAAGUAGUGACUCCUCUUCAGAAGCUGGGUCUGCAAGCCUGUGCAAAUGUGAGGUUUCCGGUUCCCUCCCUCCUCUGGUGGAAGCUGCUAGAGGGCAGACACUACGUAUCUCGAUUCUUUGCUGUCACCUUUCAGCUGUCAGCUCUGAUGUUUCUUCAUCCAACGGGUGCUGAUGGAAGCUCCCCAGCUGCUGGGUCAGUCGCCAGCCAUCUGAGGUGUCGACAGAGAAAGAGAAAGACCAGGAAACCAUUUCUAACAUAGUUGGCCCAGAGCAGAGAGUGAAUCACCAGAAACAGACUGGAAGAGGCUAUAAAACGAAAAUAAAACAGGAUGGUAAUUUAUGAUGAGCAGUAAAAAGGCCUGGGACGCUGAACAGCUAGUGAAGGUUCAUUUCCCUCUACUCUGUGGAUCUUUAACCAUGCUGAGCAUUUCCCUGUCCAGCCUGGCAGCCCCUAAAAUUUGGAAAGCCCUCUGUCCCCCACAUCAAGGUGAGAAAGUAAGGCUGUCUUGACAGCCCUUGGUAUACUGGUUCUCCUCUGCAAAAGCACCUGCCCACAGGGCCCCAAAACCCUUACGAUAAAAUCCAUUUCCAUUGUGCAACACCAUAUAGAUGGUGAGGCACAUUCCCACCCAUUAUCUCAUUUGAUCCUUACAGAAACUCUGGGAGGGGACUUCGUUUUUUUUUUUUUUUAAGAGACGGAGGCUUGCUCUGUCGUUAAGCUGGAGUGCAGUGGUACCAUCUUGGCUCACUGCAACCUCCGCCUCCCAGGUUCAAGUAAUUCCCCUGCCUCAGCCUCCUGAAUAGCUGGGACUACAGGUGUGUGCCACCACACCUGGCUAAUUUUGGGAAGGGCCUUUUAUGAAGACAUAAGGGUACUGAAAAUCACUCACAGCAAAUCAAAGACCCAAGACCUGACAAACCCCAGACCUGGACUCAGGACGACCCAACAACCUAUUUCAAGAUCAAAGUCUUUCUCAAACCUGCCCCAUGAGCCUUGCUAGGAGCAGAAGACUUUGAAAUUUAAGAUAUUAAGUGUAGGCUGUUCCCCUACUUCUACACUCCUCCCAUCCACGAAGCCCCAAAGGCUGGAGCCCAGGUCCAGGACAAAGGGCACCCACAAAGAGCCUAAAGAGCCUCAAGGUGGAGUGAGCCAACUUGAGAGGGAGGCCAGCAAACCUCUCUGAUGUCAGAGCCUUCAGGCAGUGAUUAGGGCAGGCUACCUCUCUGCCUCUCCCUGGCCCUAUCAGGGUGGUCACCCAUGAGUCACUGAAGUUUAUGGAGCCCAUGGGCUGUCCCUGCUCUGAGGAGCCCAGCUGGGUCUCCACAAGGCCUGGCCAGGUAUCCCAAAGGGCUAAGCCAGCCUCUUCCCCACUUACUGGUGGGUGUGAAUUGCUCCUAGCUGCCUGUACCUGUCGACCUCUCGUCCUGUGCAGGGGGGGUGGUGUGUGCCCUCAAGCUCCCAAUCUACAAAGUUCAAAAGUGAGGGCAUGCAGCAACUGGUGAGAGGGCAUCCUUCCAAGCUGGGUUUAGAAGGUGUCUGAAUGAGGAGGGAGGUGCCUGGAAGCAGAGCGGCUCUGGACACCCUCACAUUCGUGUGGCUGUUUCUUGGGUUGACCUGGGGGUCUUCCUAUGGGACUGUCCCUCUGUAGUAUGGUGGAGUAGGAGGGAAGAGGGCCAGAGCUGAGAGCUCUGGGGUGGAGUCCAGUGCCAGUCCUACCACUGACUCAUCAUGUGAGUCACCUCUCUUGAGACCCAGUCACCUCUACUUGUCCAUUUUAUAGUACCCUUGGAAAGUUCCCAUGAGUUAAUGGGUAUGGAAGGACCUGGUAAAUAAAUCAAGUGCCCCUGAGUUGUAGGGUGCUAUAACUAUCAUUAGCUGAGCAAGGAGGUUACCAACAGCCCCAUCCCAUUCCUGAUGCAUCUUGGGGCUAUUUAUGGCGAGUCCCCAGGCCUGCUACCGCCAUCGUGUCCUCAGCACAUCAGGGCUUGCUUGUUCACAUACCCCUCCCUGUGUACAAGCCUGAAACUCAGGGAAAGCAAAUGCAACUCCACAUCAGGCCAAGGUAGAGGACCCGAGGGUCACUGAUCCCGAAUAUUCCCAAGCCCACUCCCUACCCCCACAGACAUCCUUUCUUUUUAAUCAUCCUCUCCCCAUGAUUCCUCAGAGGAAGGAGGAGGCCACCCAGCUCAGAGCCCUGUUCUGCUCUCUGCUCAUCUACCUGAAGCUCAAACUGUCCUGAUCUCCAUGCUUUUCAAGAACAGGUGUCAGCAAAGACCUCAGGCAUCCUCAGCAGAAGGCCUGAGAGCUAUGGUCUCUAAUUGAGGCUGUUCACCGGACGCUGACUUACCGGUCUGAAGACCUCAAGACCCAGAAGACCACUUCUGGUUACUAGGCUGGGCAGCAGCUGCCCUAAGCCUCUCUUUGGUAUUAAUUUCCUAAUCUGCCCCAAGAACCCCAGGUUCUUCUUAGGACAGUUUCUGCUGGCUGUUCCCUUUUAUUUAACCCAGAGUACCCCUUGGGUCACUUGAUACUUGAGAGGAGAAUUCUUUGUUAAGCUAGAGCACAGAUUUCAAAAGUGAUUUUUCAGGGGCGUGGAUGCCACCACCAGGAUCUUAGGGGAUGGCCUCCCCUUGCUCCCCAAAUGCCCAAAUUCUGAACUCUUGGGUGUCCAACCCCACCCAGCCAGUCCCCAAAAACUGCUUCUCCUUCCUCUCUCUUGCUCCGCAACACCUCCUGGCCCCAACAACGCCACUAUUCCUUGAGUGGUUUGACAUAAGUGAAGUAACAGGUAUAAAACUGAGUUUUGAAGUAAUUGACGCAAGAAUUUGGACUCUGGAGAACUUCCCAGAGGAAUGAAAAUCAGCAACGUGGUGGCCUAUUUGGAAAAGACCUGCCAUGAUGAACAAACCCUAACAAUGCUAAGCAGGUCUGUCUGCUCCUUCCAAUUCCUUUUUUUUUUUUUACAUCUAUUGUGCACUUUAUUUCUAUUAUUACUACAUUGUAAUACAUAAUGAAAUAAUUACACAAGUCAUCAUAAUGUAGAAUCAAUGGGAGUCCUGAGCUUGUUUUUCUGCAACUAGAUGGUCCCAUCGUGAAGAGAUAGGAGACAAUGACAUAUCAUCAGGCAUUAGAGUCUCAUAAGGAGCAUGUGACCUAGAUCCCUUGAACAUGCAUUUCACAAUAGGAUUUUCACUCCUAUGAGAAUCUAAUGCCUUUGCUGAUCUGACAGGAGGCAGAGCUCAGGUGAUAAUGUGAGCAACGGGGAGUGGCUGGAAAUACAGACGAAGCUUCACUCGCUUGCCUGCCACUCACCUCUUGCUGUGCAGCCUGGUUCCUAAUAGGUCAUGGACCUGUCCAUGGUUUGCAGGCUGGGGACCCCUGCAAGGAUCCAGAUUUAAAUUCAGAAGAAGCUUCAUCUACUUCUGUAGUUCCAUUUUCUUGCAAUACCUGCUGCAGCAAACUUGAACAUUGCAGGAUUUUCUCAAGCCGCUCAAUUUGGUCAUCUUGCUUUUUAAUAGUUUUUCUUAUCACGGCAUUUUCUACUUCAAGCCUUAUUUUGUGUGCUGCUUCACAUUGUAUUUUUGUGCAUGGCCUUCCGUCUCCAUAGUACAUCUUAUAGUUGCUGUAAGUUGAUCCUGUAUUUCUUGAAAAUUUUAUUCUUAGCCUCAAUUGCAUAAUCUUCUGCAGUCUUUCCAUAUGCAUCUCGAGAAAACACAUCAGUAUUGUGCUGCAGAAGAAGAACGACUAUAUCUUUUUCUCCAAGAUUAACAGCAAGUAUGAGGGCUGAUCUGCUAAGAUAAUCAAUUGCAUUUACAUUUGUGUUUUUCUUUAAUAAAACUUCCACCAUUUUCAGUUUUCUUUGACUCACAGCAAGUAAAAGUGGUUGAUAUUCAUAUGAAGGACAUUUUCCGGGGUGUCCAUGGCCAGAGGACGCUGGCCGGCAGCGGUCAAACUUGAACCGCAAACUAGAAGCCACCGCCAAUUCGAAUCCCAAUUCCUUUUUAAAAACACUAUCAAAGAAUGUGUGACAGAGAAUCCAC
Molecule: long non-coding RNA, 9722 nt
Filed under: Homo sapiens (human)
Lineage: Eukaryota; Metazoa; Chordata; Mammalia; Primates; Hominidae
Description: HSALNT0333851
Source: RNAcentral